CUACGGGGGGCUCCAGUGGGGAAUAUUGGACAAUGGGGGAAACCCUGGUCCAGCAAUGCCGCGUGUGUGAAGAAGGCCUGCGGGUUGUAAAGCACUUUCGGUUGGGAGGACUGCUUCUAGCACUAAUAUUGUUGGAAGUUGACGUUACCUUCAGAAGAAGCACCGGCUAACUCCGUGCCAGCAGCCGCGGUGAAUACGGAGGGUGCAAGCGUUAAUCGGAAUUACUGGGCGUAAAGCGCGCGUAGGCGGCUAGAUCAGUCGGGUGUGAAAGCCCCGGGCUUAACCCGGGAACUGCAUCCGAUACUGUCUAGCUUGAGUACAGGAGAGGAGAGUGGAAUUCCACAUGUAGCGGUGAAAUGCGUAGAUAUGUGGAGGAACACCAAUGGCGAAGGCAGCUCUCUGGCCUGAUACUGACGCUGAGGUGCGAAAGCGUGGGGAGCAAACAGGAUUAGAUACCCUCGUAGUC
This 466-nucleotide ribosomal RNA is filed under the name uncultured bacterium. RNAcentral's name for it is "partial 16S ribosomal RNA". It matches the Rfam family "Bacterial small subunit ribosomal RNA", at positions 339 to 795 of the family's 1533-position model. The record is from RNAcentral.